RNAcentral lists this ribosomal RNA (497 nucleotides) under uncultured bacterium. RNAcentral's name for it is "partial 16S ribosomal RNA". It matches the Rfam family "Bacterial small subunit ribosomal RNA", at positions 28 to 507 of the family's 1533-position model. The record is from RNAcentral.
GAUGAACGCUGGCGGCGUGCCUAAUACAUGCAAGUCGAGCGAACGGACGAGAAGCUUGCUUCUCUGAUGUUAGCGGCGGACGGGUGAGUAACACGUGGAUAACCUACCUAUAAGACUGGGAUAACUUCGGGAAACCGGAGCUAAUACCGGAUAAUAUUUUGAACCGCAUGGUUCAAAAGUGAAAGACGGUCCUGCUGUCACUUAUAGAUGGAUCCGCGCUGCAUUAGCUAGUUGGUAAGGUAACGGCUUACCAAGGCAACGAUGCAUAGCCGACCUGAGAGGGUGAUCGGCCACACUGGAACUGAGACACGGUCCGGACUCCUACGGGAGGCAGCAGUAGGGAAUCUUCCGCAAUGGGCGAAAGCCUGACGGAGCAACGCCGCGUGAGUGAUGAAGGUCUUCGGAUCGUAAAACUCUGUUAUUAGGGAAGAACAUAUGUGUAAGUAACUGUGCACAUCUUGACGGUACCUAAUCAGAAAGCCACGGCUAACUACGUG